This is a long non-coding RNA of Daphnia pulicaria, 367 nucleotides long. RefSeq lists it as uncharacterized. Lineage: Eukaryota; Metazoa; Arthropoda; Branchiopoda; Diplostraca; Daphniidae. The record is from RefSeq and is a predicted model, not a curated record. The transcript has 2 exons.
CUCGGCACGCAACGACAGACUGUGUGACAAUAUUCGACAAAUAUUCAACAGGUUACAGUCGCACGCGGGACGCGGAGUUAUUUCAAUAAAUGGCUCGGCUGCAACCAGUAAUGAUUGAGAAAUAAAUUUACCCAUAUUCUAAAAUGGCAACUACUAGCUACCACCUGUGGCGGUGAUACACGAACACGAACAGUGACGGACCGAUGUCACUUUUCAAAUUGGACUCGCUUCAUCAUGUCCGUAACUCGUCGGUGUUCCGGCUUUUGUCUUUUUCAUUGCAUUUGUGUUUUAAAGGCUAUAUUUCCAUUCUAAUGUUGUUCGGCGAGAGGUAAAAUAAACUACAGCCACAUAGCCCAAUCCGAAUGAA